RNAcentral lists this ribosomal RNA (200 nucleotides) under uncultured bacterium. RNAcentral's name for it is "partial 16S ribosomal RNA". It matches the Rfam family "Bacterial small subunit ribosomal RNA", at positions 524 to 724 of the family's 1533-position model. The record is from RNAcentral.
UACGUAGGGCGCAAGCGUUAUCCGGAAUUAUUGGGCGUAAAGAGCUCGUAGGCGGUUUGUCGCGUCUGCUGUGAAAACCUGAGGCUCAACCUCGGACUUGCAGUGGGUACGGGCAGACUAGAGUGUGGUAGGGGAGCUGGAAUUCCUGGUGUAGCGGUGGAAUGCGCAGAUAUCAGGAGGAACACCGAUGGCGAAGGCAG